CAAUAGCGUAUAUUAAAGUUGUUGCGGUUAAAAGCUCGUAGUUGGAUUUCUGUCAGCGAGUGGCGCUCCGCCCCUGUGGUGAGUAGUCGUCAUGCCGCCGGCAUCUUUCUGGGGAGCGUGUCUGCACUUCAUUGUGUGGUGCGCAAGCCAGAACUUUUACUUUGAGGAAAUGAGAGUGUUUCAAGCAGGCAAUCGCCGUGAAUACGUUAGCAUGGAAUAAUAGCAUCGGACCUCGUCCCAAAGCUGUUGGUUCCUUGGGAUGAGGUAAAGGUGAAUAGGGAUUGUUGGGGCAUUCGUAUUACACUGUCAGAGGUGAAAUUCUUGGAUUUGUGUAAGACGGACUACUGCGAAAGCAUCUGCCAAAGAUGUUCUCAUUGAUCAAGAACGAAAGUUGGGGAUCGAAGAUGAUCAGAUACC
RNAcentral lists this ribosomal RNA (417 nucleotides) under uncultured eukaryote. Its description in RNAcentral is "SSU rRNA". It matches the Rfam family "Eukaryotic small subunit ribosomal RNA", at positions 592 to 1016 of the family's 1831-position model. The record is from RNAcentral.